CGAACGCUGGCGGCGUGCCUAAUACAUGCAAGUCGAACGCACUCUCGUUUAGAUUGAAGGAGCUUGCUCCUGAUUGAUAAACAUUUGAGUGAGUGGCGGACGGGUGAGUAACACGUGGGUAACCUGCCCUAAAGUGGGGGAUAACAUUUGGAAACAGAUGCUAAUACCGCAUAAAACCUAACACCGCAUGGUGUAGGGUUGAAAGAUGGUUUCGGCUAUCACUUUAGGAUGGACCCGCGGUGCAUUAGUUAGUUGGUGAGGUAAAGGCUCACCAAGACCGUGAUGCAUAGCCGACCUGAGAGGGUAAUCGGCCACACUGGGACUGAGACACGGCCCAGACUCCUACGGGAGGCAGCAGUAGGGAAACUUCCACAAUGGACGAAAGUCUGAUGGAGCAACGCCGCGUGAGUGAAGAAGGUUUUCGGAUCGUAAAACUCUGUUGUUGGAGAAGAAUGUAUCUGAUAGUAACUGAUCAGGUAGUGACGGUAUCCAACCAGAAAGCCACGGCUAACUACGUG
RNAcentral lists this ribosomal RNA (518 nucleotides) under uncultured bacterium. RNAcentral describes it as "bacterial SSU rRNA". It matches the Rfam family "Bacterial small subunit ribosomal RNA", at positions 30 to 507 of the family's 1533-position model. The record is from RNAcentral.